This is a long non-coding RNA of Siniperca chuatsi (mandarin fish), 3011 nucleotides long. RefSeq lists it as uncharacterized. The transcript has 2 exons. Lineage: Eukaryota; Metazoa; Chordata; Actinopteri; Centrarchiformes; Sinipercidae. The record is from RefSeq and is a predicted model, not a curated record.
CCUGUUGUGUUGUUUUCGAAUAUCAAGCAGGCAGGGAUUUGGACACAUGCUUUGGGUUGGGUUUCUAAAAGCGUGAAUUCUUUGGGUUGCUAUAAUUUAAAUUGAUCUAAUUUAGUGUCUCAUAAUGGUAGCAGAUUACACAAUAGUGGUUUGAUUGAUAGGUAAUCUGCCUACAGUGGGUGGUUCUGGUUACAAAUCAGCCAACCUUAGCUUUAGUGGUAAAAUCCUAUUUCUGUGAUGAUGUCUCAAAGUUUCCUUGUAAAAGUGAAGUAGAGCUGGACACAAUUAUUGUGCUGCUGCUGUCGUGUCCAGGACACUCCUGUUGAAGACAUUUCUAUUCUCAGUGAGGCCUUCUCCUGGUUAAAUCAAGUUCUCUUUCAUUCUUCCUGACCGCCAGAGGCAGUGCUGAACACUGGAUAGUUAUCCACAGGUCGAGUAUUUAAUAUCAACAAAGUCACAUGACCUGGGAUGACAUAGAGCAUAUAUAAGCCCAGGUCAUCAUGAAAGAUGUCCCUUGUAUCUUCUCGCAUGUAAUCCGCAAAAACAGGUUGAAUUGAAGGAAGAAGAUAGCCAAUUUACUUUUCGCUAGAAGCCCUGCAACCGCAUGGUUGGAGCUAUGGUUUCGUCCUGCGAUUAGACAAUCACGGCUAUGCGCCUAACUCCUAGCUGUGGAAGACAUACUUCUUAGUUGUAGUUAAUUAUUGCUCCCUGACAAUUGUUUUACCUCGUUGAAGCAUUUAAGUUACCUCCUUAGUUUUGAUAAAAGAGCAACAGCUCCCCAGUAAGUAGCUUCCCUUGUGGGUAAAACUUUCUUUGUUGUGAUUGCUGUAGAGGUGCUUCGUUGCCGUUAUGUUAAAGAGGCAAGUUAUUCGCUCCCCAUUUUUUGAAUUAACAGUUGUUAACUGUUGGAGGCUGCUCAAGCCACUGUUAAGCCAGUGGUCUGUAUGGCGCUGGUGUGCUUAGGCUUGGAUGAGGCGCCAACGGCAGGCAAUCCAGCUAGUGCAUUCUUUAGGUGGGUCCCGCUGCAGGCAGAUUUUUCCGUGCCACACUCCCAGACAUACAUCGAGGAGCUCCACAAAUGCUGACCCCAAAUCUCUUUCUCACCACACAACCGACGGCAGGGCCUUGGCUUCCAUGCAGAAUGCCAGCAGUUAUGGACUGGGCCAGAUGCCAGCUGUGGAGCCAUAUAUUGCCUCCCUCACUGUCAUCGCCCGAUGAGGUCUUGAGGGCGGCACGCCAGUCCCUGCAAUCCUCUGGCGUGGAUGCUUCCAUCCAGAGCCUCAGUGAUGCAUCUCUGCAGGCGUUCGCCCAUAUGACCAGGCUAAUGUCAACACUUAACCCUGAUUUGCCGUCAGGUAUGGCAGGCCCAAUCUCCACUUUCGGGGCCAGGGCGAGCUGUUUGGCCCAGCAGCACAGCAGGCCUUGGAGCAGGGAAUCCAGGCCAACCAGACUCGGCAGCAGUUUGCUAGCCUUCGGGGACCUACACUCCCUACUGUGACAGCAGCCUCCACAAGGUUAUGGCACCAGUCGCCCUCGGCUGCCAGCUCGUCCUGGUGGCUACCCACGGACCUUGCAAUCCUUCGAGCAGCCUGAUCACCACCACGGGCUCCCAUGCGGUUGCCGGAUGUUCUCCAAGCCGUGACACAGCAAAGUUGGUUCACGCCCAUAGACUUGAAGGAUGCAUAUUUUCACACCACAAUAGUGCUACAUCACAGGGAGUACCUGCGCUUUGCAUUCAAAGGCAAGGCCUAUCAGUUCAAGGUGCUCCCGUUUGCUCUUUCCCUAGCCCCAUGGGUCUUUAUGAGGUCCAUGCGGGCAGCGCUGGUCCCGAUGCAAGCCAACGGUAUGCAGAUCCUCCUAUAUAUGGACGACUGGACUGAUCUGUGCUCCGACCUGGAAACGGGCAGCACAGGACACUACUUUGAGCAGGUGGGGCUAAAGUGCUUUUUGUCUGACAAUGGCAUCAGCUAAGUGUGUGAGUGAGGUUCACGUUUUGUCAGUGAGUGACGAAUGCAUGUGCUGGAACUCAGAUGGCCCAGGGGUGGCACUUUGGCCUAACCUGUCAUUCUUCCCAAAGAGGUUGGCUCCAGCCCACUUUAAUCAGGUCACUGAGCUGGCAGCUUAUGACCCCUCUACAGGAUAAGGAAGCUAAUUUGGCAGAACUAUUCUGCCCAGUGAGGGCCUUGAGGCAUUAUAUACAGGCAACUGCUGGCUUUCGCCACUCGGAUAGCCUGUUUGUCUGCUAUGGAGGCUAUAUGAAAGGGCACGCCCUGUCCAAACAGGCUUUCCAGGUGGACUGUUGAGGUAUUUGAGGAGGCAUACAGGUCAAGAGGACUUCCUUUGCCUCUUAAUAUCAGGGGCCACUUCGCCAGGAGUGUCUCCACUUCCUGGGCAGCACUAUGGCGGUACCGCUGAUUGAGAUUUGCGCUGUGGCCACCUGGGCUACAGGGUCAGUGUAACUGCUCCACAUGCAGUAGUGGCAGCUGUCUUUCAGGAGCCCUCAGGCCGUUCUCGGUAAGGUGGGAGUCCUCGCAACUAUGUUGGUAAUAGUCAUCCAGUGUUAAGCACUGCCUCUGGCAGUCAGGAAGAAUGAAGGAGAACGAGUUACGUAUGUAACUACAGUUCUAUGAAUUCUGGCUGACCACCAGAGUUCUUUGUCACUCAGAAUCUCGGCGAGAAGAUACAAGGGACAUCUUUCAUGAUGACGUGGGUUUGUAUACUCUACAUCAUCCCAGGUCACGUGACUUUGUUGAUGAUAAAUAUUCAAUCUGCGCGUGACUGAUAACUAUCCAGUGUUAAGCACUCCCUCUGGCGGUCAGGAAGAAAUAAAGAGAACCGUAGUCACAUACGUAACUCUUGUUCUUUACUUAUAAUUUUCCAUUGCAUGUUUUGUGUCAUAUUUCCAACACUUACCGUUAUUGAUAAUAUGACUGUACAUACAUAAAACCAUGGCUUUCCACUCUUUUACCCUGGGUAUUUACUUUGAAUAGUAAAUCUCACGCCAAAGCCUU